GCAAUAGUCUUAAGAAUGUCAUAUCAGUCUCGAAAGAGCAAUAAAAGUAAUAAAACUUUCAGCAACGGAUCUCUUGGCUCUCGCAUCGAUGAAGAACGCAGCGAAAUGCGAUACGUAAUGUGAAUUGCAGAAUUCAGUGAAUCAUCGAAUCUUUGAAC
This 158-nucleotide ribosomal RNA is filed under the name Symmetrospora clarorosea. RNAcentral's name for it is "5.8S ribosomal RNA". The stretch from base 54 to 158 matches the Rfam family "5.8S ribosomal RNA", at positions 1 to 105 of the family's 154-position model. From Rfam's summary of the family: 5.8S ribosomal RNA (5.8S rRNA) is a component of the large subunit of the eukaryotic ribosome. The record is from RNAcentral. Lineage: Eukaryota; Fungi; Basidiomycota; Cystobasidiomycetes; Symmetrosporaceae.